UACAGAGGUCCCAAGCGUUGUUCGGAUUCACUGGGCGUAAAGGGUGCGUAGGCGGUAAUGCAAGUCUGAUGUGAAAGCUCUGGGCCUAACCCAGAAAUUGCACUGGAAACUGCUUUGCUAGAGUCUUUAAGGGGAGGCUGGAAUUCUCGGUGUAGCAGUGAAAUGCGUAGAUAUCGAGAGGAACACCAGUAGCGAAAGCGAGCCUCUGGGAAAGAACUGACGCUGAGGCACGAAAGCUAGGGGAUCAAACAGG
Molecule: ribosomal RNA, 253 nt
Filed under: uncultured bacterium
Lineage: Bacteria
Description: partial 16S ribosomal RNA
Rfam family: Bacterial small subunit ribosomal RNA
Source: RNAcentral